RNAcentral lists this unclassified non-coding RNA (190 nucleotides) under uncultured Rhizophydium. Its description in RNAcentral is "sequence contains ITS1". Lineage: Eukaryota; Fungi; Chytridiomycota; Chytridiomycetes; Rhizophydiales; Rhizophydiaceae. The record is from RNAcentral.
UAAAAUAAUGAUGGUGGUGACAGCCUGAAUUCUCAGGCGUGUCUAAACCUUCUAAACCUCUGUGCACUGUAAUAGUAUCGGGUCUAGGUAACGCAGUCUUUAGGGAUAGCGAAGCUUAGGCCCAAAAACGGUUUCGACCGUAUAAACAACUUUUAAUUUUGACUGACUUUUGUUUCUAACGAAUCAAAAA